This is a long non-coding RNA of Oreochromis aureus, 1984 nucleotides long. Lineage: Eukaryota; Metazoa; Chordata; Actinopteri; Cichliformes; Cichlidae. The record is from Ensembl.
GCUACGAUAAAUUUGGUUAGGGCAUUAGCAAUCGGGCCACCGUCAGGGACGGAAUACUGGCUAAAAUUGGUCGCAAAAAGUCAGGGACUUUUAUCGGUUGGACCGUUAUGGAUAAAUUUGUCGAAAUUUGUAGGAGUUGUAAAGGCCUAAAAAUCUGUGCAGUGUAAAUAUAAAGACGUCUUGUGUAAAUAUAAUAAUAUGAGAUCUAUGUGGAGAUCCGUCUCUGCACCACCAGUGCACUACCGGAUGUGCACUGAUGGUGUGUGUAAAUGCAAAUGAGCAGCGGGGACGCGCAGAGAGGGUGGUUUCAGCUUCGACAGAAUUGAGCUUUUGCUAAAUGCCUGUAUAUAAGAGGUUGGUUUUGCUUAUUAUGAGAGUGUAAAUACAGUGUGAAUAUAUUAGUGUGGAUGCAUAGUAAAUGACUGAAUUUUGAUAGAUGUAUAUUUCGUGAGCCAUAAAUGUUGGUGUGUUUUAUUUUUCAGUUAUGUGUGUGGGGAGAAGCCGUGAGGAUGAUGAGAGGUUUCAGUUUUCUUUUCUUUUCUUUUGACUUGCUCUUUCUGAUCAUGGAAGGCAUGUCCAAAAUACUCGUAUGAAAGCGUAUUUCGAGUGAUUUUAACUGUGUGAGUGCUGUCAGUAUUUGAUUUGAGUGACUCUGCGUGAGUUCUCUGAGUGAGAGAAAGGCAGUGCGUGUGAGACGAUUUAUGGCGUCUGAAAGAGCAUGAUGUGUCCAGGAACCUGAAAAGCAAGCCCCAGCUCCUGGCUGAAGACUAGGAGUGCUUUAUUUAAGGCCUGGAAGAGAGUGAACGGACGGCGCUGACAAAAUUACCAAGUACGAAAAUCAGGUGGGCUUUACAGAAUUAUAAUUGAUUACAAUCAGAGACUGAUCGGCGGCGAGUCUCUGUCUAAAAAUGGAUUGUAUCGAUUCAAUCCAGUCAAAAGUAUAGAGAACUAUUUUCCUAAAAAAAAGAAAACGAAAUAAAACAAAUGAUUGAGCUCAUUUUGCUGAUGUGGAGCAUCUGAUGACGUGCGCGGAAGGCUGCAGAUCAGCAAAAAAAUAUCAUGAGUGAAUGCAUGUGAGUGAAUGUGAGUGACUGGACUAAGGUGGGAAUGAAUAAAUGUGGACAGAUUUAUCAUGUGAGGAAAAGAAAGGGGAUGCUUUGUUUUGCUUUUGCCAUAGGCAGGACAAGUGGGAGACUUAAAUCUGGGGAGGCUGAUUUUGGGAUGCUGAUGUUUGCUUUGAGAAAAUUUCUUUUUACGGGGGUUAGAUUAUGGGAUUACAUUAUAUUGUUGGGAGAAUGCUAAAUGCUAAAAGGGAAACAUUGUUUGAUGAGAUUCAAGUUACCAUUAACUGAGGUAACUCAGGAUUAAUAACUGUUCUGUUCAAGUUUAUUUUUUGUUAUGACAUAGACGGGAUCAUAAGGGGAGAGUUGAGUAUGAAAUGUAAACUACAGGUUUUGUUUUCAGGAAAUUCCAAGGAUCCAGACCUUGCAUGGAGCAACGAGUUGGAGAAGAUUUGACAUGAUGAUUAAAUUGAUUUUGUUCCUUAAACACAGGUUUUCAGGGCUGGAGCAAAACACCGGAGAGGAGAAUUGCUGAGCUGUUCUGAGAAAUGAAAUGACUAACCUUUUUUCCUUUUGAUUUGUUAAGCUUGGGUGAAGAUGUUGAGUUUUUGCCACAUGAGAUGUGUCAAAAAAGAGAGGGGUUUAAGAUUUAAUUUGUUUAAUGUGAAAGGGUUUUACUAGGAUUUUAUAACGAUUGGGGUUGUUUGAUAAUUUAGAUAUGGUAAAACUGAGGCAGAGAUUGUUAAUUCUAAAGAAAGGAGUAAAAUGAACUGAAUUCUGUUUAGAAGAUAAAUUGCUGGGGUUAAAAAGAAGUUGUACACCAAAUUAAAGGGGAAAUUGUGGGAAUAAAGGAUAUGCUUUGGGAAAAAUAGUGAACAUUUUAUGAGUAGAAAAUGUGGGAUUUUUCUUUUGAUUUUUAGGAU